GACGAACGCUGGCGGCGUGCUUAACACAUGCAAGUCGAACGGAAAGGCCCUGCUUUUGUGGGGUGCUCGAGUGGCGAACGGGUGAGUAACACGUGAGUAACCUGCCCUUGACUUUGGGAUAACUUCAGGAAACUGGGGCUAAUACCGGAUAGGAGCUCCCGCUGCAUGGUGGGCGUUGGAAAGUUUCGGCGGUUGGGGAUGGACUCGCGGCUUAUCAGCUUGUUGGUGGGGUAGUGGCUUACCAAGGCUUUGACGGGUAGCCGGCAUGAGAGGGUGACCGGCCACAUUGGGACUGAGAUACGGCCCAGACUGCUACGUGAGGCAGCAGUGGGGAAUAUUGCACAGUGGGCGGAAGCCUGAUGCAGCAACGCCGCGUGCGGGAUGACGGCCUUCGGGUUGUAAACCGCUUUCGCCUGUGACGAAGCGUGAGUGACGGUAAUGGGUGAAGAAGCACCGGCUAACUACGUG
Molecule: ribosomal RNA, 468 nt
Filed under: uncultured bacterium
Lineage: Bacteria
Description: partial 16S ribosomal RNA
Rfam family: Bacterial small subunit ribosomal RNA
Source: RNAcentral